AAUCACAUAAUUAUGCUUAAUUAAGGGAGUAAGGGGAGCUCCACCAGCCAAGUGUAUGCUUUUAUCUCCUCCUCCCCCAGCAGGAUAAUUAGUAAGUGAAAUGCUGCUUCAUAUAUGAGAGGUAAUUAUACUAUUUUCUCGCAGAGCUAGCCACUGAAAACUUAGCUCUUUCCUUAUUUUUUUUUUUGAACUUUCCUUGUCCUUUUUCAACAGGGGGAUUUGAAGCCCAUAUUGUUGCCAGAUUCAUAAUCUCUCAACACAUCAAUAGCUCCAAAGCUGGUUAUGAGAAUUGUACUCAAUGCCAUCACAGUGCCAACUGAGAAGACAAUGAUAGAAGCCCUGCCAUAUUCUUGUAUGGUUCUUUGUACUACCAACAGGCCAAGAAGUGAAGCAACAAAACAUAUAGCUGCAAAGAUAAGGGCAGUGUCCGUGUGCUCCAUUCCGGAUAAUAGGUACUGAAACGCAGACAUGGUAGAUGAAAAAAAGACCAUGAAGGAACAAGUUGCAGCAGUUACCUGGAAAAAUGAUGUGAAUUACUUGCUCAGGACUACUAUUGUUACUAAAACAAUAUUAAUUGAGUAGUCCCAUAACUCACCACUGGUGGUAUUCCGACAUGAAGAAGAAGUGGGCUGAUAAGCAUUCCCCCUCCAAUUCCAAAAACUCCACCAAGUAUUCCCGCUAGUAGUGCCAUUAUUGGGAAAAUGAAUCUGUUUGGCAUUCUGCUUCUUGUUGAGUCUUCCAUCUCCUUAAAGCAAGAAUUUUGAAGUUUGAGAAAAAUUUUAGUUUCCAUUAACCACAAUUAACUAACUACUUAUGCAUUAUCGUAGAUUAAAAUGGUUAAUGGAGGAGGCUAAUCUUCUUAAAUUGGUUGAAUUGAGCACCUGUUGGUUUUCAGUUUGAUUUUGGCAGUUCUGUUUUCUCAAUAGGAUGAGGAUCCAUGCAGUGAAAAUUAUUGCCAGAGGAAUUUGAAGUGAUGAGAGAAUCCAAUAUUCUACUCCACAUGGCUUCAUUGGUGCAAUGCCCUGCGUAUAAUUUGAGAUGUGAAGGAAAAUAGCCAGGUAAGUUCUCUUUCUUGUUUUAUUUUACUAACCUGAAAAUUUUUCUUUAUAUUGCUACCCACUGU
Molecule: long non-coding RNA, 1123 nt
Filed under: Manihot esculenta (cassava)
Lineage: Eukaryota; Viridiplantae; Streptophyta; Magnoliopsida; Malpighiales; Euphorbiaceae
Description: long non-coding RNA (MESC_LNC009390)
Source: RNAcentral